CGUUUUUUUCGUUUGGCUGGCCGUAUUUGGCUGGGAACGUCUUGCCCCGGAAGGAGUUCAGAGCAAGCAGUUCGCCAAGACGAAUGUUGUGAAUCUGCUCAUUUGGGGUC
Molecule: ribosomal RNA, 110 nt
Filed under: uncultured eukaryote
Lineage: Eukaryota
Description: partial small subunit ribosomal RNA
Source: RNAcentral